This 101-nucleotide non-coding RNA is filed under the name Pelosinus sp. UFO1. RNAcentral describes it as "SAM riboswitch aptamer (S box leader)". It matches the Rfam family "SAM riboswitch aptamer (S box leader)". From Rfam's summary of the family: The SAM riboswitch is found upstream of a number of genes which code for proteins involved in methionine or cysteine biosynthesis in Gram-positive bacteria. The SAM riboswitch acts at the level of transcription termination control. The predicted structure consists of a complex stem-loop region followed by a single stem loop terminator region. RNAcentral also lists the same sequence under 1 other name. Lineage: Bacteria; Bacillati; Bacillota; Negativicutes; Selenomonadales; Sporomusaceae. The record is from Rfam by way of RNAcentral.
CUCUUAUCUAGAGAGGUCGAGGGACUGGCCCUAUGACACCCGGCAGCCGGCAGCAAUGCAACGGUGCUAAUUCCAGCAGGAGCAAUCCUGAAAGAUGAGAG